UAACUUUGGCUAGAACCCUCUUAUCUUCUAAAGCUCAUCUUUUGGAGCUUCUUCUUCUUUGAUCUGCCCAGGGUUGUUAGAGGUCUUGAUGGGGUAAGAAGCCGACAUGGCGAUACCGAUACCGCACAACCCCUCUCUGGCAUUUAUUCCGCGCUGCAUUCUGAUGCAUCCAUCUUCUCCCCAUUCGGACCCCACGAAUUUCUAACUAUCCAAUACUUUGUUCCAUUGCGAGUAGAUCCAUAGCCUACUACUGCAACUCUGUGAUCCAAAUCAGUUCCACACUCUCCAGCGAAAACACCCUGAGCGCCAUUGUAGGUAUCAUAUACACCUAUGUCAAUUUGUAAAACUUUUUUUUUUAAUCUUUUUUUUGUUUAUUUUUUUGAAAAUUCAUUAUAUACUACUCAUAAUAGGCUCUUAAUUAGAUAAGCUGAUGAAACAGUAAGAUCUACUAUCCCAAUUAAUGUUGCAGAAGAUACUAACCUCAUAAUAGAAUGUUAAAUAUAAAAAAAAAAUGUUUAAACACCGUUCUCUAAUUUAAACAUUUUUUUUUUUAUAUUUAACACUCUCCCUCACGUCUGGGCUCGGAAAUUUUUAAUCGGUCCAUGACGUGAACUUGAAUUAAAUGGGAGGAAAUUAAUAUGUUAGGAGCCUGGCGUAACUCGAACUCAGGACCUCCUGUUCUGAUACCAUGUGAAACAACCGUUGUACUCUAAAAGCUUAAGCUGUUAGAGAACGGUGUUUAAACAUUUUUUUUUUUUAUAUUUAACAUAGAAUUGGAAGGCUCGACCACGAUGGCGACAGAAACAGACUGGUGGGCCACAGCUUUCUUUAGAGCGUCCUCGUUGUCGGCCGGAACAUCCUCGUGCCCGUCAAGCACAACCGCCGGAUGACGCGCCUACGAAUUAUGCAGGGUCAUCAAUUAGAAUUUAGAAAUAUCAUAAACAUUGUUCACUGCUUUAUAUUCGUUCACCCUUGAAUUGGAUUUUCUAUCAAAAAUUUCUGAGCCAAAUGAUCAAAC
RNAcentral lists this long non-coding RNA (1018 nucleotides) under Ananas comosus (pineapple). Its description in RNAcentral is "long non-coding RNA (ACOM_LNC008289)". The record is from RNAcentral. Lineage: Eukaryota; Viridiplantae; Streptophyta; Magnoliopsida; Poales; Bromeliaceae.